RNAcentral lists this ribosomal RNA (253 nucleotides) under uncultured bacterium. RNAcentral describes it as "partial 16S ribosomal RNA". It matches the Rfam family "Bacterial small subunit ribosomal RNA", at positions 524 to 776 of the family's 1533-position model. The record is from RNAcentral.
UACAGAGGUGGCAAGCGUUGUUCGGAAUUACUGGGCGUAAAGGGCGCGUAGGCGGUUCGUUAAGUCCUGUGUGAAAUCCCCCGGCUCAACUGGGGAACUGCACAGGAAACUAGCGGGCUUGAGUUCGGGAGAGGGAAGCGGAAUUCCGGGUGUAGCGGUGAAAUGCGUAGAUAUCCGGAGGAACACCGGUGGCGAAGGCGGCUUCCUGGACCGACACUGACGCUGAGGCGCGAAAGCGUGGGGAUCAAACAGG